UUUUGACCACAAAAAACCUUUCAGUGCUUUAUUAAGGCACAAUGAAUCAUCAACUUAUUACUUCAAAUCCUUUAGAACCUGGCUCCUCUUCUAACGCCAAACAGGUCAGCUUAUUUUGGCGUUCUUGCUAAUAUUAAAUACACAGGUUUGAAAUAUGAAUUUCUUAUUUUUCAUUAUGAAGAAUAGUAACCGGUUAAAUGUAAUUUGAUUGAAUGAAAUUGGCCUGAUGUGGCUGCGAGUAAAGCAUUUUCUCCUCUAAUCUCAUCUUGCUUUGAUAUGCUAUGCAAGUUUCCAUGCGCCAUUGUCUCUGUCAACUCUAUUUUUCAGAAGCUGUGUCCAAAUUUCAAUGCCAUGUUCUCUCAUUUCAAUUACUAUAUUAUUCUCAUCUUUCUUUACCAGUUUUUACUAAAACCGUUUUUUCCAUUAUUCUUUGCCCCUUUCUCUUUUCAAUUAUAGAGAUUUGGAUGUCAUUGUGGCAACCAGUAAGGUAAAUUGUUUGUUUGGUUCCAUUCUUUUUCAAAUGCAUAUCUAAAGUUAAGGGUAAGAACAUGUGAUCACUCUUUCAUUUCCUUUUGAUUCCUUCUCACUUUUAAAAUGUCAAGUGCUAUUUUGUCUUUAUUAGUCACUCCUCUCCUUGCUACUCUCUCUCAUCAGAUAUUGGAAAAGGAUGCUUAUUGGUGUUCAGCUUGACAAUCUGCUAAAUCCUUUACCAGCUUCAAAGUGUGCGGUGAUGAGGCAAUUUAUUGGACUAGAGUUUCUGAUCUGGGUAUUAUGCUCAGAACUUGAUUAACAAACCCUUGACUGUCUGAGCACACCUUUAAGGAAGUUUUCAAUUCCUUUUCUUGAGUUAGUAUUUUUUCCCUUUUGAGGUGACCGUUUUGAAUGUGUUGUUCAAUUAGUUAAGAAAAUUGGCUCGUGAUGAUAGUUUAAUUAUCUUAGCGGAUUUCAGUGAGAUUUCUAUCAAUGAUCUUAUUGUUACACACACUGAAGCCUAUUUUCUUUAUGGAUAUUCUUUAAUUUAACGUAUUAUAUUAGAUGUUGCUUUGGAUGCCCCUUUUCUGUAGUCGUGUUUGGUUUCUUAAUCUUUGGGGGCACCGAUAAAAUGAAACACUUGAACAUGUUUCAGGGCAGUGGCCGUGACCAUUCAGCUUCGGCCUGAGCCCUUUCCUAACGACUUAUCCUUGCACUGAGCACUGUGUAUUAGUUAAUUUCUUGAUUGCGAUUACUGUUUAAAGAGUUUGCAUCUCUCUGGCUAGUUACUGAAUAAUUUCAGUGGGAAUAAGAUUAGAUAGGAUUUUAUUCUGUUCCCAGUUAGUUUGGAUUAUGUCCUAGCGUGAUCCUCCCUUGUUUUUGUAACAUCUGGCUAUGUGUCGCUGUAUUUGGACGAG
This is a long non-coding RNA of Neltuma alba, 1388 nucleotides long. RefSeq lists it as uncharacterized. The transcript has 2 exons. Lineage: Eukaryota; Viridiplantae; Streptophyta; Magnoliopsida; Fabales; Fabaceae. The record is from RefSeq and is a predicted model, not a curated record.